Molecule: non-coding RNA, 341 nt
Organism: Spodoptera litura
Lineage: Eukaryota; Metazoa; Arthropoda; Insecta; Lepidoptera; Noctuidae
Source: RefSeq, a predicted model, not a curated record
AGGAGGAAUAUCAUAGCGAAGAGCGCAAUAGCCUUUUGACUGCCACCGUAAAAAAGCGUAAGCCCCGUUUCCCCCGUAAGCACGAUCAUGAACAAGACAGGCAUAUGUUACGAAGUGGUAAAGUCGAGGAGAAGAAGAAAGGCAGCCACGAGAUCUAACCCCAGGGCAGAUAAUGACAAGUAAUAUUAUGAUGUACCUAAUAAUGAAAAAACAAGUUGGGAAACGUCAACAAAUGUGAUAUAUUUGAACGACAAACUGCUACUCACCAAUGGAACUGAAAUAUGUUUAACUAUAUAGAAAAGCAACAAUGAAAAAAAUAUUAAACAGUGCCUAUAGCUGUA